UAGAUGUAUAAAAUGAUUGUUUUCAAGGCACUUCCAAAUACACCUUCAUUGGAUAGAUACAAUAUCUGUUCGAUGAAACUAAAGUUUGACUUAAAACAUUAUGAAGAUUGCUUUAUGUAUUUUUGUGGUUUGUCUGUUUGUGAUUGGAGCACAGUCUCUGACAUGUCGUGAAAAUCAAACGACCAGUUCCAUAUGUCCACGACUCUCAGAGAAAGGGUGCACAGACUCCAGUACCAGCUUAAGAUUCAUCACAUGUAAAAUUCCUCAAUGCUACUGCAAAACUGGCUAUGUCCGCGAACCCCUCACCAGGAAGUGUUACAAGAAAAAAGACUGUCCCGAUUAUAGCAAAAUCUACACGAUUUUGGGAUUGAUUUGAAUAAAAUUUUGAAUUGAAUAC
Long non-coding RNA from Ostrinia nubilalis (European corn borer), 397 nucleotides. RefSeq lists it as uncharacterized. The record is from RefSeq and is a predicted model, not a curated record. The transcript has 2 exons. NCBI's taxonomy places the organism in Eukaryota, Metazoa, Arthropoda, Insecta, Lepidoptera, Crambidae.